GAUUUCUGGUAAGAUACAUUUAGCCGGCCACGGUUUCGUGUGUUAGUGCUUGAUGUUCUGGCCAUCCUUCCAAUUGCUAUAUACCUUUCUUCAUUGAUUGGUAUGUGGUAUUGGAUCUUUUACUUUGAAAAAAUUAGAGUGUUUCAAGCAGGCUUUAUGCUAUGAAUACAUUAGCAUGGAAUAAUAAUUUAGGACUUCGGUUCUAUUUUGUUGGUUUCUAGGACUGAAGUAAUGAUUGAUAGGGAUAGUUGGGGGUGCUAGUAUUCAGCGGCCAGAGGUGAAAUUCUCGGAUUCGCUGAAGACUAACUUAUGCGAAAGCAUU
This 322-nucleotide ribosomal RNA is filed under the name Sandonidae sp. RNAcentral describes it as "SSU rRNA". The stretch from base 112 to 322 matches the Rfam family "Eukaryotic small subunit ribosomal RNA", at positions 744 to 955 of the family's 1831-position model. RNAcentral also lists the same sequence under 1 other name. Lineage: Eukaryota; Cercozoa; Glissomonadida; Sandonidae. The record is from RNAcentral.